RNAcentral lists this ribosomal RNA (396 nucleotides) under uncultured bacterium. RNAcentral's name for it is "partial 16S ribosomal RNA". It matches the Rfam family "Bacterial small subunit ribosomal RNA", at positions 523 to 918 of the family's 1533-position model. The record is from RNAcentral.
AUACGUAGGGGGCAAGCGUUAUCCGGAUUUACUGGGUGUAAAGGGAGCGUAGACGGAAGGCCAAGUCUGAUGUGAAAGCCCGCGGCUCAACUGCGGGACUGCAUUGGAAACUGGUCAUCUGGAGUGCAGGAGGGGUAAGCGGAAUUCCUAGUGUAGCGGUGAAAUGCGUAGAUAUUAGGAGGAACACCGGUGGCGAAGGCGACUUUCUGGCUGACAACUGACGCUGAGGCGCGAAAGCGUGGGGAGCAAACAGGAUUAGAUACCCUGGUAGUCCACGCUGUAAACGAUGAAUACUAGGUGUGGGGGGACUGACCCCCUCCGUGCCGCAGUUAACACAAUAAGUAUUCCACCUGGGGAGUACGAUCGCAAGAUUGAAACUUAAAGGAAUUGACGGGG